AUGCAAAUAGAACAGGCCCGUAGACAAAGCGAAAUGCAAAUAGAACAGGCCCGUAGACAAAGUGAAAUGCAAAUGGAACAGGCCCAAAGGCAAGGUGAAAUAGAAAUGCUUAGAAUAAGGAUGGAUGCUACUGCCAAAAAGGUAAGGGCUGAGACUUUGGCCAAGGCCCUAAUUGAGCCACUCACAGAAGAAAAUGUAAGUCAGUUGCCGAAGCAGGACCCUUCUUCCAAGGUGCUUGUGCAUCUUAAUAGCUUAAACAGCCAGUUUUCGGAUGAGGAACAGGAAGACUUCUCUCCUUACCCAGAGCAGGGCCCCAAAGUCACUUUUGAGUUUCCUGCAGAGCAGAGCGUCAUAGCGGGGAGCUCACCCUUGCCCGAGCUACCUGUGCCUCCUGCUAAAUCCCUAGGUCAGUCAAUCAGGGCCUCAAGGCCAAGUGCUAGUUGGCCCUUACAGACAGCUGCACAGGGAGCCACCGAUUCGUCAGUGGUCGAUGUCAUCCCUCCAAGAGGCCAAAGGUUGACGCAAGGUGCACGGUGGGAGUCCACUCCACAACAGCAAACUCCUCAAUUGUUCCCUUCGACGCCAGAGUCCCAGCUUGUCUCCAUCAUCAGAAGCCCCAGAAGAGAUCUUAAGGACAAGGGUGUCGAAAAGUUUUCGGACAAGCCUGAGGAAUUUCUUCUCUGGAAGGCCACCUUCCAGAGAGCAAUCAGAGACUUAAAGUUAUUGCCUGAGGAAGAACUGACUCUUCUGGCUGCAUGGUUGGGCCCAGCCUCAUCCUCACAAGUUAAGAAGAUCUACGCAGCCCACGUAGCCGAUCCCGACAAAGCCCUGGAAAAGGCCUGGGCCAGGUUGCAGCAGAGGUAUGGGGCCAGCACAGAGAUUGAAGCAUCUCUUAUGGACAAGCUCCAAAGGUUCCCAGCUUUGAAACUCAAAGACUUCAAACUCUUGUGGGACCUCAGCGAUCUCCUUACGGAAUUAGAGUCGGCCAAGGAGAAUCCAGAACUGCCCGGUUUGAAGUGCCUCGAUCAGCACCUGUCCCAGAGGCAGAUCUUGACCAAGCUGCCCUUCACUUUGCAAGAACGCUGGGGACAGGAGGUCUUCAACUACAAGGAGGCCCACUCCCAGGCAUACCCUCCAUUUUCUCAUUUGGUCCAGUUCAUCACCAGGGCGGCCAGAGAAAGGAAUGAUCCGCAGACGGGCCUCCCCACCUUAUACCAAGGGACUCAGCCAGAGAAGGCACCUGAAGUGGACAAGAAACCACCUAGAGAGGCCAAUAGACCUGUCAGCGUAAAGGCAGUCGAAACUCAACACAAGACUGAUGAACCCAGGUCGGAGGUAAAAGAGGUGCUCUGCCCCAUUCACCAAAAGCCUCACAGUUUGGCCAACUGCCGGGAAUUUGGCAAGAAGCCUUAUAAAGAAAGACAACAGAUUGUACAGAAGCUGGGCAUAUGUUUUAAGUGCUGUGGAGCAACUCCUCACUUUGCAUCCAACUGCAAAGAGGACGUCAAAUGCGCAAGGUGUAACAGCCUUAAGCAUUGCACCGCGAUGCACAACUCUGACGCUGUCUCCCGCGCCAAAGGGGACACGUCUUCCAAAGAAGGGUCAUCUACUGAAGCCACCAACGUGCAGACCGCAUCACGGAUGCAGGAGGAUGCUCCAUCGGUCGCCUGUACUGAACUAUGCUCUGACGUGCACCAGUUCAGAGUCUGCCAUCCCAUCUGCCUAGCAGAUGUAUAUCCAGCCAGAAGACCUUGGCUUAAAAAGAGACUUUACGUGGCUUUGGAUUCACAAAGCGACGCCUCCCUGGCGACUCCAGAGUUUUUCCAACUGUUUGACAUAAAAACCCAGACGGUCGACUACACCAUGUCCACCUGUGUAGGGAAGAAGAAGUUGCAGGGUCGCAUAGCAUCCGGCUUUGUUGUCUCCUCUUGUGACCAGAAGAGACUGUUCGAGUUACCAGACCUCAUUGAGUGUUCCUCUAUUCCCCGGAACAAAAGGCAGAUUGUCACCAGAGAAGUCGUGGAAGCCCAUCCUCACUUGCGAAAGCUGAAGAACGCCUUACCUGCUUUCCGUCCAGAUGUGGACAUUGCCCUUCUACUUGGUGCGGACUGCCCGAACUUGUUCUAUGUGAACGACCAAGUUAAGGGACCUCCAGGGGCGCCCAUUGCUCAGCUGCUACCACUAGGCUGGACAGUUACAGGCCCGGUGUGCAUAAAUAGGAUGCACCCUCCAUCGUCGGUGGGCACUCGUCAUGCGCACGUGCUUCAAGGCAGUCGCCCCACACUAAUGCAUAGCUGUUUGAGUCAUGUCUCGGUCUAUUGUCAGGGGAUAACACCAGAGUAUUCUUCCAUCUUUGAAGUCUCCGAAAGGGAUGAAACUACAGCGCUUUCCAAAGAUGAACAGAGGUUUUUAGAGAUCAUGAACUCUCAAGUUUCCCGGAGUCCAGAGGGAAGUUGGAUAGCCCCUCUGCCUUUUAAAGCAGAAAAACCCACUUUGCCAAACAACAGGCAUGUGGCAGAAAAUAGACUCUGGUCACUGAAGAAGAAGAUGCAGAAAGACCCCAAGGUAAAAGAGCAAAUCGUUGGCUUUAUGGAAGACAUGUUCCAAAGUAACUACGCCGAAGUCAAUUUUCCAUCAGCCUUUUCUCCCACCGAUAAUACAGAAUUGCCCGAGUCCGUUCCAGAGGUGAAAGUUUGCAAGAUGACCACAGAAAUCAAGAUGGGCCAAAGAUCUUGCCUGGAACGACACCAUUUUGAACGUUUUUCGGAAUGGCACAGUCUUCUUAGAGCAGUUGCUAGGCUUAUACAUCGCUUAGUCUGCAAAGAUAGUCAGCCUUUGCAAGUUCAGGACAUGUUGAAGGCUAAGGGAGUAAUAUUCAGGUCAAUUCAGAGGCAUGAGUUUAGUCUAGAAAUAGCCAGGUUAGAACAAGGGCUUGACACCCCCAGCCGGAGUUUCUUGCGUGAGUUAAACCCAUUUCUAGACAAGGAGGGCAUUUUAAGAGUGGGAGGGAGGUUAGCUAAGGCUAAACUCAAAGUGUGUACAAAGAACCCCAUCAUUGUACCCCCCAAUAGCCAUAUUGCUUUGUUGUUGGUUCGUCACUACCAUGAGAAAAUCCAUCAUCAGGGUAGAACUCUAACUGAGGCAGCCCUUAGAAAUGAAGGUCUGUGGGUAGUUAAUGCCAAAAGGUUGGUCAACAGUUGUAUUUUUAAGUGUGUCAAAUGUCGGCGACUCAGACGUAACUGUCAGAGUCAGCUGAUGGCUGAGUUACUUCAGGACAGGACUUUGACAGACCCCCCCUUUUCCCAUGUGGGAAUCGAUGUGUUUGGUCCUUGGGAGGUUGUCACUAGGAAAACCAGGGGUGGUGUUGUAAAUAACAAGAGGUGGGCAGUUUUGUUUACUUGUUUAGUAAUACGAGCUGUCCAUAUAGAAGUCAUAGAAGGGAUGGACACUUCAUCAUUUUUAAACGCAUUAAAAAGGUUCAUAGCCCUCAGAGGGCCAAUUAAGUCAAUUCGGUCGGACUGUGGCACCAAUUUUGUAGGUGCGACCAAAGAACUCAAUUGUGUGUCUAGGUUUGGGAGAGACCCAAAGGUUCAGAACUUUACGAAUACUGAACAAAUUAUGUGGACUUUCAAUGUUCCUCACGCCUCCCACAUGGGUGGUGUUUGGGAGAGGAUGAUUGGUAUUAGUCGCAAAAUCCUUAAUGCCAUGCUUUUGAGUCAUAGGUCAUUGACGCAUGAUGUUUUGGUGACACUUAUGGCGGAAGUUACCGCAAUUAUCAACAACCGGCCGCUGGUUCCCCUUACCAGUGACCCUGAGAACUUACAACCACUGACUCCUGCACUUAUUUUGACACAAAAGGUGCCAGGAUGGAAGGACAUCAUGUUGCCAGUUCCGGACGGAACUCACCGUGCCCUGUGGAAACAGGUGCAGUCCUUGGCCAACCACUUUUGGAAAAGGUGGAAAGCUGAGUACUUAAGCCAGCUUCAAGCUAGAAGAAUCUGGCAAAGCCCACAGGACAACAUUGAGGUUAACAACGUUGUGUUGUUAAAGGACAAAGACUUGCCCCGCCAUGCGUGGCCCAUGGGCAUUGUAUUAAAGACCUUUCCUUGCCCGGACGGUAAGGUCAGGAAAGUUCAAUUAAAGACUUGCAACAGAGGCAAAGUGUCCAUUUUGGACAGACCAAUUAGUGACCUCGUGUUGCUUAUUGGAGAUGUUUAA
This 4218-nucleotide long non-coding RNA is filed under the name Anolis carolinensis (green anole). Its description in RNAcentral is "lncRNA (ENSACAG00000036313.1)". Lineage: Eukaryota; Metazoa; Chordata; Lepidosauria; Squamata; Anolidae. The record is from RNAcentral.